Molecule: long non-coding RNA, 362 nt
Filed under: Gossypium raimondii (Peruvian cotton)
Lineage: Eukaryota; Viridiplantae; Streptophyta; Magnoliopsida; Malvales; Malvaceae
Description: long non-coding RNA (GRAI_LNC002260)
Source: RNAcentral
AGGAGGAGGAGGAGACGAAUGGGUUGAAAGUGAUAUAAAGUCGUUGGAGUGGAAACAUGAUGUUUCUUCUCUAAUUCCACACGCUUUGGAUCCAAUUAUUAUUUUUUAAAAUUAGUUUUAAUAGUUUAACGGGAUCAUUUUCAUUUUUAUUUCUUCUUUGUUUAUUUUGUUUGUUUUUCCUUUUAUUUUUUCAUCUUAGGUAUCAACCUCACUUGAGAGAGCAUGUUCAUGAUGCAUCAAGUCAAGCAAAGAUAAGACAACUCGGAUAAAUUUUUUAAGAGCUUAAAUAGGGAAAAAUCCUCUUCUUUGCUUGGCACAUUAGAGACAAUAUUCAAUUAACUUUUUUUUUUUGCAUAUUUUUC